UACGUAGGGGGCAAGCGUUGUCCGGAAUUAUUGGGCGUAAAGAGCGCGUAGGCGGUCCGGUAAGUCGGCUGUGAAAGUCAAGGGCUCAACCCUUGAAAGCCGGCCGAUACUGUCGGACUAGAGUCCGGAAGAGGCGAGUGGAAUUCCCGGUGUAGUGGUGAAAUGCGUAGAGAUCGGGAGGAACACCCGUGGCGAAGGCGGCCUGCUGGGCCGAUCCUGACGCUGAGGCGCGAAGGCGUGGGGAGCGAACGGG
RNAcentral lists this ribosomal RNA (253 nucleotides) under uncultured bacterium. RNAcentral describes it as "partial 16S ribosomal RNA". It matches the Rfam family "Bacterial small subunit ribosomal RNA", at positions 524 to 776 of the family's 1533-position model. The record is from RNAcentral.